ACUCCAUGAAGCUGGAUUCGCUAGUAAUCGCGCAUCAGCCAUGGCGCGGUGAAUACGUUCCCGGGCCUUGUACACACCGCCCGUCAAGCCAUGGGAGCCGGGAGUGCCUGAAGUGCGUGACCGCAAGGAGCGCCCUAAGGCAAGACCGGUGACUGGGGCUAAGUCGUAACAAGGUAGC
This 178-nucleotide ribosomal RNA is filed under the name uncultured bacterium. RNAcentral's name for it is "partial 16S ribosomal RNA". It matches the Rfam family "Bacterial small subunit ribosomal RNA", at positions 1315 to 1500 of the family's 1533-position model. The record is from RNAcentral.